ACAUGCAGCUAUACCUCCUUGAAAGUGUGUGACCUCACGUCAUCUCAAAAGCUAAGCAGGGUCAGGCUUUGAUAACAUGUGGAUGGGGGAUUGCCGGGGAAUAUUUGGUACUGCAUCUG
RNAcentral lists this ribosomal RNA (119 nucleotides) under Phascolarctos cinereus (koala). Lineage: Eukaryota; Metazoa; Chordata; Mammalia; Diprotodontia; Phascolarctidae. The record is from RNAcentral.